GUGGAAAUGGGGUAGGUUGAAGCCAGUGUGGUUGGAUAACGGGGUGAGGAUAUGAGAGCCUGCAGGCCUUGGAGACAGGGCAGUUAAAGGGAACGAUGAUCUUGUAACAGGAUCUACGUUAUUCUGAGGCAACAGAACUCUGGCUGAGAAAAUUCAAUUGCCGUGGGGCGUAAGCAAAUGUUUUUGAGCUGGAGAGGAAUAUGACCAACGCCAUCCAGCAGCAAGAGAAUGUACUCUAAGGAGGAGACGGGCACAACGAUAUCAUUUUGCACAUUUGGACAUGUCUGUGCACAUGCAAAUGGUCAUUGGAUGAACAACCUCUCCCUAUUAUCAUAGGCUUGGGGUCCCACCCAAGUAAUCACCCUGUCUGUCCUUUGUGCUUUUAUCAGUACACAAGAAACCGAUGGGACUCUACAUCUUAGCUUUAUCAAUUAGGACUCCUCACCACCACUGCACAGUUCAGGGCCUUGUGCUAUGCCUACUGAGGCCUCCUCCUACCUCUCCACAAAUCUAGACCUUGCACUGGGAUGAGAAGUGGGUCUGCAAAGCAUGCCCUGAGCACCCGUUCACAGCCAGCUAUGUGCAGGAUCCUCACACCAAGGAGCUGGGGUGGGAGUUGAGUCAAUAGCCAGGCCUGCACCAUAGGCGUGACCCAGACAGGCCAUCACAUGGAGAUGGAAAGGCAGCAGAUAAGGCCACUUCAGAGAGACAGGGUGGAGCCCAUGUCCUGCUCCUGAGACCAAGCAAUGCCUCUUCAUGCUUCCUUGCAGACCAUUCCCUCCCACUAGUCCAGCCCUUGGCAACCAUAGGCUUCUUUUUUUUU
Molecule: long non-coding RNA, 823 nt
Filed under: Homo sapiens (human)
Lineage: Eukaryota; Metazoa; Chordata; Mammalia; Primates; Hominidae
Description: HSALNT0394180
Source: RNAcentral